GUGAGGAAUAUUGCACAAUGAGCGAAAGCUAGAUGCAGCAACGCCGCGUGGACGAUGAAGGCCUUCGGGUCGUAAAGUCCUUUUCAGGGGGACGAGUGAGGACGGUACCCCUGGAAUAAGUCACGGCUAACUACGUGCCAGCAGCCGCGGUAAAACGUAGGUGGCGAGCGUUAUCCGGAUUCACUGGGCGUAAAGCGCCUGCAGGCGGUCUCGUAAGUGGGGUGUGAAAUCUCCUGGCUUAACUGGGAGGGGUCAUUCCAUACUGCGGGACUGGAGGGCAGAAGAGGGGAGUGGAAUUCCCGGUGUAGUGGUGAAAUGCGUAGAUAUCGGGAGGAACACCAGUGGCGAAGGCGACUCCCUGGUCUGCUCCUGACGCUAAGAGGCGAAAGCUAGGGGAGCGAACGGGAUUAGAAACCCCAGUAGUCC
This 426-nucleotide ribosomal RNA is filed under the name uncultured bacterium. RNAcentral describes it as "bacterial SSU rRNA". It matches the Rfam family "Bacterial small subunit ribosomal RNA", at positions 354 to 796 of the family's 1533-position model. The record is from RNAcentral.